Molecule: ribosomal RNA, 468 nt
Filed under: uncultured bacterium
Lineage: Bacteria
Description: partial 16S ribosomal RNA
Rfam family: Bacterial small subunit ribosomal RNA
Source: RNAcentral
GACGAACGCUGGCGGCGUGCUUAACACAUGCAAGUCGAACGGAAAGGCCCUGCUUUUGUGGGGUGCUCGAGUGGCGAACGGGUGAGUAACACAUGAGUAACCUGCCCUUGACUUUGGGAUAACUUCAGGAAACUGGGGCUAAUACCGGAUAGGAGCUCCUGCUGCAUGGUGGGGGUUGGAAAGUUUUGGCGGUUGGGGAUGGACUCGCGGCUUAUCAGCUUGUUGGUGGGGUAGUGGCUUACCAAGGCUUUGACGGGUAGCCGGCCUGAGAGGGUGACCGGCCACAUUGGGACUGAGAUACGGCCCAGACUCCUACGGGAGGCAGCAGUGGGGAAUAUUGCACAAUGGGCGGAAGCCUGAUGCAGCAACGCCGCGUGCGGGAUGACGGCCUUCGGGUUGUAAACCGCUUUCGCCUGUGACGAAGCGUGAGUGACGGUAAUGGGUAAAGAAGCACCGGCUAACUACGUG